Molecule: transfer-messenger RNA, 395 nt
Filed under: Microcoleaceae
Lineage: Bacteria; Bacillati; Cyanobacteriota; Cyanophyceae; Oscillatoriales
Also listed under: 1 other name
Description: JAAURB01 sp012033335 Standard tmRNA
Rfam family: transfer-messenger RNA
About the family: Bacterial tmRNA, also known as 10Sa RNA or SsrA, is named for its dual tRNA and mRNA-like properties. Its role is to liberate the mRNA from a stalled ribosome.
Source: RNAcentral
GGGGCAUUACUGGUUUCGACAGGGUAACGAAAGCUUCUUUGUGAUGCAGGUCGAGAGUGAGUUGUCUCUCGUAUAAUCUCCAGCUCAGAAAAAUAAGUGCAAAUAACAUUGUCGCUUUUGCUCGUCCUCGCGUAGCUGUAGCUGCCUAGGAAAAAAACCUCUUUCAGGUUACGAGCAUUUGUGGUUCGACUCCGUUAAGGACUGCAGAUUAAACCCCAACGGAUUGGUGAGUAUUGUGCCUCUGGUCGCAUAACUCAUGAGAACUUCACCAGAGUCCCUUGUUAGUCAGGGUAAUGGCUAACUCCCGCUCUACGGAUCAAAAGAGCUAAACCUGUGAAUGAGCGAAGGGUCAAUACUUAUUCUGGACAUGGGUUCGAUUCCCAUAUGCUCCAUUA